CCUACGGGUGGCUGCAGUGGGGAAUAUUGGGCAAUGGGCGCAAGCCUGACCCAGCAACGCCGCGUGAAGGAAGAAGGCUUUCGGGUUGUAAACUUCUUUUCUGAGGGACGAAGAAAGUGACGGUACCUCAGGAAUAAGCCACGGCUAACUACGUGCCAGCAGCCGCGGUAAUACGUAGGCGGCAAUCGUUAUCCGGAUUUAUUGGUUUUAAAGGGUGCGCAGGCGGUUUGUUAAGUCAGCGGUCAAAGCCCGGGGCUAAACCCCGGCCCGCCGUUGAAACUGGCAGUCUCGAGUUGGAGAGAGGUAUGCGGAAUGCGCGGUGUAGCGGUGAAAUGCAUAGAUAUCGCGCAGAACUCCGAUUGCGAAGGCAGCAUGCCGGCUCCACACUGACGCUGAGGCACGAAAGCGUGGGUAUCGAACAGGAUUAGAUACCCUUGUAGUC
RNAcentral lists this ribosomal RNA (442 nucleotides) under uncultured bacterium. Its description in RNAcentral is "partial 16S ribosomal RNA". It matches the Rfam family "Bacterial small subunit ribosomal RNA", at positions 338 to 795 of the family's 1533-position model. The record is from RNAcentral.